RNAcentral lists this ribosomal RNA (320 nucleotides) under uncultured bacterium. Its description in RNAcentral is "bacterial SSU rRNA". It matches the Rfam family "Bacterial small subunit ribosomal RNA", at positions 28 to 351 of the family's 1533-position model. The record is from RNAcentral.
GAUGAACGCUGGCGGCGUGCUUAACACAUGCAAGUCGAACGGACAUGUCUUUCGGGAUAUGUUAGUGGCAGACGGGUGCGUAACACGUGGGUCACCUGCCCUAGAGUGGGGAAUAACUAUCCUAACGGAUAGCUAAUACCGCAUAUGCUCGGUGAUUCGUUUUGCCGAGUAAAGUCGUAAGGCGCUUUAGGAUGGGCCUGCGGCGGAUUAGGUAGUUGGUGGGGUAAUGGCCUACCAAGCCGAUGAUCCGUAGGGGGCGUGAGAGCGUGGCCCCCCACACUGCGACUGAGAUACGGCCGACACUCCUACCGGGAGGGCUG